Molecule: ribosomal RNA, 866 nt
Filed under: Hymenochaete sp.
Lineage: Eukaryota; Fungi; Basidiomycota; Agaricomycetes; Hymenochaetales; Hymenochaetaceae
Description: eukaryotic LSU rRNA
Rfam family: Eukaryotic large subunit ribosomal RNA
Source: RNAcentral
CCCUAGUAACUGCGAGUGAAGCGGGAUGAGCUCAAAUUUAAAAUCUGGCGGUUCUGCCGUCCGAGUUGUAAUCUGGAGAAGCGUUUUCCGCGUCGGACCGUGUACAAGUCUCUUGGAAUAGAGCGUCAUAGAGGGUGAGAAUCCCGUCCAUGACACGGACUCCCGAUGCUAUGUGAUACGCUCUCAAAGAGUCGAGUUGUUUGGGAAUGCAGCUCAAAUGGGUGGUAAAUUCCAUCUAAAGCUAAAUAUUGGCGAGAGACCGAUAGCGAACAAGUACCGUGAGGGAAAGAUGAAAAGCACUUUGGAAAGAGAGUUAAACAGUACGUGAAAUUGUUGAAAGGGAAACGCUUGAAGUCAGUCGCGUCGUACGGAGCUCAGCCUUGCUUCUGCUUGGUGUAUUCUCUGCUCGACGGGUCAACAUCGAUUUCGGCCGGUGGAAAAGGGCUCGAGGAAUGUAGCGUUGUUUCGGYGACGUGUUAUAGCCUCGGGGUCGUAUGCAUCGGCUGGGAUUGAGGACCGCAGCACGCCUUUUUUGGCCGGGGUUCGCCCACGUUCGUGCUUAGGAUGUUGGCAAAAUGGCUUUAAGCGACCCGUCUUGAAACACGGACCAAGGAGUCUAACAUGCCUGCGAGUGUUCGGGUGGAAAACCCUUGCGCGUAAUGAAAGUGAAAGUUGGGAUCCCUCGCAAGGGGGUGCACUGACGCCCGGCCCAGACGUUCUCUGACGGUGCCGCGGUAGAGCAUGUAUGUUGGGACCCGAAAGAUGGUGAACUAUGCCUGAAUAGGGUGAAGCCAGAGGAAACUCUGGUGGAGGCUCGUAGCGAUUCUGACGUGCAAAUCGAUCGUCAAAUUUGGGUAUAGGGGCGA